AAUCUUGCGCAAUGGAGGGAACUCUGACGCAGCGACGCCGCGUGAACGAUGAAGGUCUUCGGAUCGUAAAGUUCUGUCCUCAGGGAAGAAAGGCACUCAACGUGACUUGACGGUACCUGACGAGGAAGCCCCGGCUAACUACGUGCCAGCAGCCGCGGUAAUACGUAGGGGGCAAGCGUUGUCCGGAAUUAUUGGGCGUAAAGGGUGCGUAGGCGGCCUUUUAAGUCAGAUGUGAAAGGCUACGGCUUAACUGUGGGGUUGCAUUUGAAACUAGAAGGCUUGAGUUUCGGGGAGGGUAGUGGAAUUCCCGGUGUAGCGGUGAAAUGCGUAGAUAUCGGAAGAAACACCAGUGGCAAAGGCGACUACCUGGUCGAGAACUGACGCUGAUGCACGAAAGCUAGGGGAGCAAACA
Molecule: ribosomal RNA, 412 nt
Filed under: uncultured bacterium
Lineage: Bacteria
Description: partial 16S ribosomal RNA
Rfam family: Bacterial small subunit ribosomal RNA
Source: RNAcentral